UUACCAUUAAAGCUGCCGGCGCGCCUAACACAUGCAAGUCGAACGAGAAAGGGUAGCAAUACCCUAGUAAAGUGGCGCACGGGUGAGUAACACGUGACUAACCUACCCUGGAGUGGGGGAUAACUGAGGGAAACCUUAGCUAAUACCGCAUAACACCUACGGGUCAAAGGAGCAAUUCGCUUCAGGAGGGGGUCGCGGCCGAUUAGUUAGUUGGCGGGGUAAUGGCCCACCAAGACUGUGAUCGGUAUCCGGCCUGAGAGGGCGCACGGACACACUGGAACUGAAACACGGUCCAGACUCCUACGGGAGGCAGCAGUGGGGAAUUUUGCGCAAUGGGGGAAACCCUGACGCAGCAACGCCGCGUGGAGGAUGAAGUACUUCGGUACGUAAACUCCUUUCGAUCGGGACGAUAAUGACGGUACCGAGAGAAGAAGCCCCGGCUAACUUCGUGCCAGCAGCCGCGGUAAUACGAGGGGGGCGAGCGUUGUUCGGAAUUAUUGGGCGUAAAGGGUGCGUAGGCGGUUUGGUAAGUCUGAUGUGAAAUCUAUGGGCUCAACUCAUAGUCUGCAUCGGAAAACUGCCGGGCUUGAAGUGUGGGAGAGGUGAGUGGAAUUUUCCGGUGUAACCGGUGAAAUGCGUAAAAUAUCGGGAAGGGAACACCUGUGGGCGAAAGCGGCUUCACC
Molecule: ribosomal RNA, 683 nt
Filed under: uncultured bacterium
Lineage: Bacteria
Description: bacterial SSU rRNA
Rfam family: Bacterial small subunit ribosomal RNA
Source: RNAcentral